This 694-nucleotide ribosomal RNA is filed under the name Salmonella sp. Trautman ave_2007_03. RNAcentral's name for it is "bacterial SSU rRNA". It matches the Rfam family "Bacterial small subunit ribosomal RNA", at positions 37 to 722 of the family's 1533-position model. Lineage: Bacteria; Pseudomonadati; Pseudomonadota; Gammaproteobacteria; Enterobacterales; Enterobacteriaceae. The record is from RNAcentral.
UAGGUCACAUAACACAUUGCAUAUCGAACGGUAACAGGAAGCAGCUUGCUGCUUCGCUGACGAGUGGCGGACGGGUGAGUAAUGUCUGGGAAACUGCCUGAUGGAGGGGGAUAACUACUGGAAACGGUGGCUAAUACCGCAUAACGUCGCAAGACCCAAAGAGGGGGACCUUCGGGGCCCUCUUGCCAUCAGAUGUGCCCAGAUGGGAUUAGCUUGUUGGUGAGGUAACGGCUCACCAAGGCGACGAUCCCUAGCUGGUCUGAGAGGAUGACCAGCCACACUGGAACUGAGACACGGUCCAGACUCCUACGGGAGGCAGCAGUGGGGAAUAUUGCACAAUGGGCGCAAGCCUGAUGCAGCCAUGCCGCGUGUAUGAAGAAGGCCUUCGGGUUGUAAAGUACUUUCAGCGGGGAGGAAGGUGUUGUGGUUAAUAACCGCAGCAAUUGACGUUACCCGCAGAAGAAGCACCGGCUAACUCCGUGCCAGCAGCCGCGGUAAUACGGAGGGUGCAAGCGUUAAUCGGAAUUACUGGGCGUAAAGCGCACGCAGGCGGUCUGUCAAGUCGGAUGUGAAAUCCCGGGGCUCACCUGGGAACUGCAUUCGAAACUGGCAGGCUUGAGUCUUGUAGAGGGGGGUAGAAUCCAGGUGUAGCGGUGAAAUGCGUAGAGAUCUGGAGGAAUACCNGUGCGANGGG